Molecule: ribosomal RNA, 891 nt
Filed under: Leifsonia xyli subsp. cynodontis
Lineage: Bacteria; Bacillati; Actinomycetota; Actinomycetes; Micrococcales; Microbacteriaceae
Description: bacterial SSU rRNA
Rfam family: Bacterial small subunit ribosomal RNA
Source: RNAcentral
CUGGCGGGUGCUUACCAUGCAGUCGAACGAUGAACCAGGAGCUUGCUCUUGGGAAUUAGUGGCGAACGGGUGAGUAACACGUGAGUAACCUGCCCUUGACUCUGGGAUAACCUCCGGAAACGGAAGCUAAUACCGGAUACGAACUGCGGAGGCAUCUCCAGCAGUUGGAAAGAACUUCGGUCAAGGAUGGACUCGCGGCCUAUCAGGUAGUUGGUGAGGUAACGGCUCACCAAGCCUACGACGGGUAGCCGGCCUGAGAGGGUGACCGGCCACACUGGGACUGAGACACGGCCCAGACUCCUACGGGAGGCAGCAGUGGGGAAUAUUGCACAAUGGGCGCAAGCCUGAUGCAGCAACGCCGCGUGAGGGACGACGGCCUUCGGGUUGUAAACCUCUUUUAGUAGGGAAGAAGCGAAAGUGACGGUACCUGCAGAAAAAGCACCGGCUAACUACGUGCCAGCAGCCGCGGUAAUACGUAGGGUGCGAGCGUUGUCCGGAAUUAUUGGGCGUAAAGAGCUCGUAGGCGGUCUGUCGCGUCUGCUGUGAAAACCCGAGGCUCAACCUCGGGCCUGCAGUGGGUACGGGCAGACUAGAGUGCGGUAGGGGAGAAUGGAAUUCCUGGUGUAGCGGUGGAAUGCGCAGAUAUCAGGAGGAACACCGAUGGCGAAGGCAGUUCUCUGGGCCGUAACUGACGCUGAGGAGCGAAAGCGUGGGGAGCGAACAGGAUUAGAUACCCUGGUAGUCCACGCCGUAACGUUGGGCGCUAGAUGUGGGGACCAUUCCACGAGUUUCCGUGUCGCAGCUAACGCAUUAAGCGCCCCGCCUGGGGAGUACGGCCGCAGGCUAAAACUCAAAGGAAUUGACGGGGCCCGCACAAGCGGCGGAGCAUGC